GCAAACUGUAAGCUUGCCGUUCGCAUAAUAAAACUGCCGAACGUGCGAAUAGAAAAUCUAUGCGAACUGCCGAACGUGCGAAUAGAAAAUAGAUGCGAACGCCUAAAAAGGCGAUCGCGUCAAACUGCCGAACGAAGCGUUCGGUUGAAAGAAACGAAUAGUCAAUGUGCGGUCGCACAGAAACGACCGCGGGCAUUCGUGUCAAACAGGCGAAUGCGCAAAAAACUAC
Pelobates cultripes (western spadefoot toad) is the source of this 229-nucleotide non-coding RNA. The record is from the annotation of a GenBank genome assembly. NCBI's taxonomy places the organism in Eukaryota, Metazoa, Chordata, Amphibia, Anura, Pelobatidae.